Photinus pyralis (common eastern firefly) is the source of this 552-nucleotide long non-coding RNA. RefSeq lists it as uncharacterized. Lineage: Eukaryota; Metazoa; Arthropoda; Insecta; Coleoptera; Lampyridae. The record is from RefSeq and is a predicted model, not a curated record. The transcript has 2 exons.
CCAACUUAUUGUCACUUUUGAAUGAUCCAAAUUGGCCCAACUGAAAUGACACGAUUGUGAAAUAAAAACUGUGACAAUUGUGCUCACUUCCAUGUUUCAGGACAAAAAAAAAUCAAAAGAAGAAGCCUUGAAACGUUUGCAUCUAGAGAGAAGCUUCACUGCAUGAUGGGCUGGGUUUAAACAGAGAGAUGGUUCAUUAAUGGAUUCUGGGGAGGACCAGUAUCACCUGCAAUAUGUGGGUUUACAGUCUCGGUCACUUGCUUGUUAGAGAGACGAAAACUAUAUUGAUUUAUUGUGUAAUGAUAUCGAAAAUUACUUAGUAUGAUGCGUCAGUGAUAACAGUCAUAUUGACUCAUUGAAAGCAAAUAAGAUCUACUAUGGGCCAUCUAUAAUUACGACAAACUGAUCUGGACCACUCUGUACAGUUGCAGAAAAGUGAAAGCAUACUUGACUAUUUUCCUAUUACAGAAUUAAAAAUAGGAGUGCAUUUAUUUCUCACGCUUUGAGGUUGCUGACUGCAUUACUUAAAUAAUAAAAAAUUGUUUGGCGGAA